This is a non-coding RNA of Tetranychus urticae (two-spotted spider mite), 3176 nucleotides long. The record is from RefSeq and is a predicted model, not a curated record. NCBI's taxonomy places the organism in Eukaryota, Metazoa, Arthropoda, Arachnida, Trombidiformes, Tetranychidae.
CAUAAAUAAGAAACAAUUGUUCAAAUGCUUAAUGAUUGUGCAGCUCAACAGAUUUUAAACUGUAAGAACAAGUUUAAUGGCGAAGCCUGUUGGCGCCGAAACAAAAGAAAAGAUUAAAAGAAGUCUCAUAGUUCAACUGAUGACUUGUCCUGGUUUUUUCCAGACUAGAUGUAAUGAGUGUUGCUGCUUCUUAUACUCAAAUUAUUUAACGACUUUUCUAAAUUCAAAAUUGCUAAAUAAAUUAACGGUUAAAUAUUCAAGUAUCUAAUUAAUUGGCUUAAUUAAGUCACAAAUGGUCACAUAAUGAAAAGCUAUUGUUCUGUUAUCUACUGCCUUCAAACUAAACAUGUGAUUGGGUAAGUAACCAUUUUGUUUGCUUUUUUCAUGAUAAAUUGUCUGAAUAUCUUUUUUCUUGUUCUUUUAACAGUUGUUUUAGAAUAUGUUGAGCCAGGAUCUUGAAUUACAAUCAUGUAGAAAACCAUGCUAUUGUUGUGUUAAUUAAAUCAUCAAUAUUCUUUAGUGUAAGUACAAACCGUUUUUCUGUGGUAUGUAAUCCAUGCUUUUAUAUAACUUUGUGCAAGCGAAUUGAUCACAAUGAAGGAACAACAAAAGAGAAAUUGUAUUUUUAGCUGAAAGACUCAACACCAAUUUUAUUCUAACCAUGUAAAGUAAUUGAAAUAAAUUACAUAUCUUCUGUUGCUUUUAACCGCCAAUUUAUAUUUCUCUUUACAUUAAUCAUAUUUUAAUGAGCUCGCUAAUUGACAUUUUUCUUGUUUUCCUGACUUUAAGAUGUUUUAAUUCAUUUCAUUUUCCUUAUACUCAUUUCUCUUUUGUUUUUUUUCUUGCAAAUAGGAAGAAGAUUUUGCAACAACCAGUGGGAAAGUGGAUUUAAGGAAUGCAAAGCUUUCAAACAAGGCUUAUUUACAAGCAUUACCUAGAACCAUAUCGAUUAAACACAGCAAAAUUCAAGGUAAAUUGCGAAAAUGAUGGUUGAUUGAAUGCUUAGGUGAAUAGGGCUGAAAGGGUGAAAGCAGAAUAAAAUGAUAAAAAGAGUGGAUUAUUCGGGAAAAUGAUGGUAAGAAAUGAAAAGAGUAAAAAUUAGCAUUAGGUAAAAAAGAUAGAGAGAAAAUAGAUGAAAGUAAAUGAUGAACUACUAAAUAUUCUCUAAGGAAGUUAACUUUGGAGAUGGUCAGGAAAAUGAGUCAGAAAGAAUGAGAGAAGAAAGGAUGAGGUUAAAAUAGAGAAAACAGAUUAAGUGUAAAAUAACUACCUAUAAAUCUAAUAGCAAUCAAAUAUUAACUAAAUGAGUACAAGGAUUUAGGGUAAGGGAAUGGAAGUGAAAUCUCACUAAAAUCUAGAAAACAAAAAACUGGACAUUACUUUGUUUACGUGAAGAAUUGUUUAAAUUUGUUGAGAUAAUGCUUUUAGUAUAUAAUCCCAAGUAAAUGGAUUCAAAAAUUGAUAUUAAUUUUUUUAACAAUUGAUUGUUCUCAAUGUUACCAAGAGCCUGACAAUUUGAGCAGCAUUUGCCACAAAAUCUCUAACAUGUAAACCUUAAGCAAUUGGACUGAUUGACUUUUCUUUCUUCAGUUUCUUCUAGGUUCUGCAAAAGCAUUUUAUCAUCUCUAGAAAAGCAUGGAAGGAUUUCCAGUAAAGACGCCAGGAAGCUUCUCGUUUUUGUUUGAUACCUGAUAAUUUGUUUUAUUUCAAUGAGAGUAGAGAGUUGAGGAAAAGUGGAAACAGUUGAAGGCAAAGUUUGGAAGGUGUCAAGGAAGCGGAUGCAAAGACUAAUUUCAGACUUUUCAAGGUACAACAGGAUAUUUGACAAGAAAGGGAAAAAUUGUGACAAUAAAAAAUAACGAGGGAGGAUUGGAGGAAUUAACGUUUAUAAAGGAGAAAGAUGGUCGGAUGGAGAGUUAUACAAGGAUGGGAAAGAAAUGGCAAAAAUGGACAAGAGCAAACACGAUACAAACUAACUACAUUGGUACUACUACAACUACUGUUACAAUGAAAAAAACUACCGAGUCACAAAGGUUUCUUGUGUUCACUUGCUUGCUCAGAGGAAAACAGGCUAAUCUCAUGUUUACUGGAAUAAGAGUCAGAAAUUGGAUGUAACUUUUUUCUGAAGACUUCAGGAUAAGAUAGUAAUGAAUAAAAGGUAAUAAACAAAGGGUAAGUGAUGAGGAGAUAUUUUUCUUUCUGACCAUUGUUCCUAGAUUAUUGUUGAUUAACUGUUGAAUUGAGUUUUCUUUUUUUCCGGUAAUUGAUAAGUUGGAACAAUGUCUUGAUAACUUUAUUUUUUUCUUGUCUUUUCAGAUUCAAGUUGUUGUUCAGGGAGUAAAUUAGGACAAAUGGAGUGGGAAAGAAAUAUUUUAGGACCAUCUCAAAAGUCUCUUCACUUGGAGUUAAUUUUAAAGGUGUUUGGCGUUGAUUAUCCAACCCAAGGGUUAACAGAUAUGUCUUUAGAACUGAAAUAACUAUAUUGGCAAAACCUGGACAACUUGCGACUAUUUUCUCAAGAAUCGUAAUUUUACAUGAAUACAGUUGUGGUACUUAUUAAAGAUCAAAAUUGGGAUUGGCGAAGAAAAAUUGAAAGUGAUGAAAAUGAAAUUUUCAGGACAAUUUUCAUCCUUGACUGAUAGAAACAAGACAAAAAAGGAAUGGAAAACCGAGAAUUGAUAUAACGAGACAUAACCAUGGAAACAAAAAAUUAGAUCAGGGAAUUUCAUUUUCUUUUGUUUAUCAGUUUCGUAAUGGAGUUUACUCUUUUGAUUAUUUUUUUGUAUCAUAGUGUGAAAAAAGUAAAGGUAAUGAUGGUAGAGAAUAGACAUGGAAGAAACAAGUAAUUGAAUCAAAUGGAAAAUGAUUUCUUUGAUUGUUUUGUUUUGAUCGUUCGCUUGUGUUUAUUAGCUUUAGUGAAUGUCGCGAUUUGGAAAAUCACAAAGAUGGGAUUUAGCCAAAUGGAUAUAUACUUUUGUUUUCGUGCGGAUGCAUUAAAAAGAAUCAGGUUUAACAGAGAAAUUAUAGUUAUGGAAGAAAAAAUUUCAUGAAAAGGUUUAUAGAUAGGAUUAAGUUUCCAGAAUGAUAGAUUAAUGAAAGAUAAUUAGCAUAUAUUUUUUCAUAGAAUGACUUCUGUUAAAAAUGAAUUCAUUAAAAUUGAAUUAUGUUAACAGCAA